Molecule: long non-coding RNA, 6523 nt
Organism: Cyprinus carpio (common carp)
Lineage: Eukaryota; Metazoa; Chordata; Actinopteri; Cypriniformes; Cyprinidae
Exons: 3
Source: RefSeq, a predicted model, not a curated record
CUUGGCAAUAGAGCUCUUUCUGAUUCUGAUUCUGAUUCUGUAGAUCAAUAGGCUUUCUUCAGAUAGCGAUAAAAUCUUUCUAUUUUACUGUUACUUUUGGCAUAGUAAGGUGAAGCCUUGAUAUGCUUUACUUCACUAGUUUUCAGAAAUGCCUCAAAGAUUUCCCUACAAACUGCUUGCCAUUAUUAGUCACUAACUCUAAUGGAUACACAAAUCAUCCUAAGAUUUCAUAAUUUCCUAGGUAACCUUGUUUGGUCCAGUGUCUAGUGAAAGCUCUAAGAGAUGCAGCGGUUGAUCUUCAUGCAAGGGUUGAUUUCAGAAAACACUCAUUACAAUUUUUGAUCAUUCCUUCUACAUCCAUAUUCUACAUAAUGUAUUCUACAUGUCCACAUUAGGCCAAUAUAAUUCAAAAGUGUUUUGUGCAAAUUAUACCUUGAUGUGUCUCCUGUUAUUUUCAAAGCUUGUUGGAUCUGUGGAGAAGGGAGAACUAUCCUGUGUCCCCACAGUAAGAGACCAUCAUGGGUUAACAAUUCUUUUGAGCAUCGUUUGUAUGGCUGUAAGCUUUCAGGAAGUGUAGCAGUGUAGUUGUCUCCACAAUGGAAAUCAGUAGUGUCAAGGUAGUAUCUGCCAUUGUAGCACUUUUAAGUUCCUCAAGAUUCAAGGCUUGAAUAUCCAUCAUAUUUACAGCAAGCACUCUAUCUGAGAGUAACACUGUGGGUGUCAGAGACCAGCUCGCACAUGCCACAGAUUUUUUAGCUCCAUCUUCUUGUGUCUGAAGCAAAACUGCUCCAAGUCCGACUGGAUUUGCAUCACUGAUUACAAAUGUUGGAGCAUUUAUGUUAAAGUAUGCUAGCAUGGCUCACUACUUAAUUCCUUUUUCAGUCCUUUAAAUGCAUUUUCUGCUUCAGAUGACCACUGCCAUUCUUGUCCUUGUCUGGUAAGUUUUCUAAAAGGCUCAGACAGAUUUGCGUAAUUUGGCACAAACUUCAUCAAAAAUCCACAAGUGCCUAGAAACAAAUGUAACUGUGUGCCAUUUUUAGGACUGGGAGCAUUUCAAACUGCUUCAACUUUUCAUUGAUCUGUUUUUUUUUUGUCCGUUGUGAUAACAUAACCUAAAAUCUCAAUCUGCUUAAGUUAAAAUAUAUAUAUUUUUCCUCAGUGCCUCAGGUCAGUGCCUUUUUCCUGAAAUCUUUGAAAAACUUUGUUCAGUCUUUGUUCCAGCUCCUUUACAUUUUCAGCAAAUACAACCACAUCUUCCAUGUAGCACACCACACCUGGCAUCCCAUAUAACAAAGAAUCCAUGGCUUUCUGGUUUGCUUCAGGAGCACUAGACAAUCCAAAUGGAACCUUCUUAAAACAAUAGCAUCCUCUGUGUGUAAUGAAUGUGGUCAAUUUUCUGGAUUCAGGUGCAAUGUUAACUUGCCAAAAGCCUUUGCGGUUAUCCAGUUUUGCAAACACCUUUGCUCCCUGCAUUGCUUGCAGUAUACUGUGUAUUGUUGGUACUGGAUGUCUUUCUCUUAUCACCGCUUUGUUCACCUCUCUGAAAUCUGAGUCUCACUUCUUUAGUGUCCUUUUUUUUGGAAUGAGAAGAAUGUUGGACACCCACUCAGAUCCUUUGUGGACUUCCUCUAUUAUUCCAUCUUCCAGCAUUUUAUCCAGCUCCUGAUUUACAGCCUCUACCAUUAGAAAAGGUACUCUCCUUAUAGCUUGAGCUACAGGUGUGACCUUUUCAUUCACAGAGAUUUUAUAGCUGUAACCUUUGAUUUGUCCCCGUUCAUUAAAAAAGACUGACAUUCAGCUUCCAGUUUUGAAAAUCUUUCAGAUUAAUUUUCAAUUGCACUGACAUGGUCUGCUGGUAUGAGACAGUCAAAGCAGGACUGUAUUCCCAACAGCAGCUCCAUUUCUUUUGAUUACAAAAGUUUAAUCUUUUGUGUCAUUACCCUUCCAUUCAAAAUGAGCUUAAAAAAACCCACACAGUGAAGAGGGUCCAUCUGUGAAUGGGCAUAGAUUUUUCUCUUGGUUUGUUUUAGUUCAACUCUUUGUGCAAACAGUCUUCAAUACAGUUCUUCUCCAAUUAAAUUUCUUCCACUUCCUGUAUCUAUGACCAUCUUCAAUCUUUGUCCAUUAACUCGUAUGGUCUCUUUUCCUUCUGGGUCAAUUGAAUACACUAAUUCAUCAUCAGAAUUGUUGUUUACUGCUCUCACUGGUUUUUCUUUGAGUCUGACUUGUCUUUGGCCUUAUAUUUGUCCCUUUUAUGGUCCUGUGAGUUGUUUUUCUGUCUGAAAACACAUGCAUUAUUUUUUUUGGUUGUUUUUUUGCAAGAUAGGCAGGGUGCUGAUUUUGCUCCACACCCUACAAACGGAACAUCCCCUGGACAUUGCAAAUCAUCAGACCUGACACCUUGCAACUCAGAAAUAGGAAAAAUUAAUCUAAAAUAUAAACCUAUGGAUUUUAAGGGUGAUGUGGUUAUUCCUUUUUUUUCUUCUUUUUUUUGCUGUAGUAAAAAUAAUAGAUUUGAAUUAAUUGUAAAAUUAAGUUAAUGUUAAAAAUAAAUAACUUUAAUUUCUGGAAAAAAUUAUAAAAUAAAGGAGUGACUUCUGUAAUUAAAGAUGUCAUCAAAUCACGAGCCUGUUUUUGGCAGUUAGGCUAUCAUUUAAACAUCAAAAACAUGAUACCUUUCAGUAAUAUAAUUGAAUGUAGGCUACAAUUUAUUACUGUAGGUCCUAUGUAUUCCUCAUGCAUGAAGAAAAGAAGUUUGAAUCCCAGGAGCUCUAAAACGUUAGAUUCAACUAAUGAAUGCAGCCAAGGAAAACAUGAAGAAUAGAAAAGCACAUUGCUGGAAAAUAAAGUGGAAAAUAAUGCAUGCAGCAUGUAUCCAUGGCAACGCUCAUCUGCGUAGAGACAGUUAAGUGAUUUCCUCACACACGGCCUUGAGUUUUCUCUUUCGUCAGUUGAAAAUGUAUUUUUAAUUUUAGAAUUGUAUAGUUUUAGAUUUGAAUAGUAACCACUGUGUAUCUUGUAGCCUAAUGUUUAAAUUUGAUGAAAAGUUUAAAACAUUUGCUUGUUGUUCUCCAUUGUGUAUGGCUGCUGACGUUAUGUGAACACUUAGCUAGCACGUAAAGCUGACAUUAGCUAUUAAAUUGAUCUAAUAUCGACAAAUAUUGAACUUAAGUAUUGAAUUUCCAUAUGGCAAAUACACACUGAGACUCGUACAUGUGACAAAAAGCUCAUUUGGUACAGCCUGUCUUGAUAUGUGCACAGAAUUUCGGACCUUGUUCUAAAUCCAAACUGUCAUUAGUCUUUACAAAUCUUUUUUCAAUGAACAAACGAUACUCCUAGAUAUAUAAAAUCACAACACUACUAAAUGUGUUCAUUUUAUUGUUUAAGAAGCCAAUGGGAAGAAUUGCUUUUGGACCCCACAUCUGACAACCAGAGACGCAUACACACGGAAAGAGCACUGCAUCUUUACAUUUGUUCAGUUAAAAUAAACAUAUUUUGCUCCUUACAACAUGUCUGUUUUCUUUGGUUAACCUGAAAGUAAAAGGCCCGGGGUCUGUGUCGGAGGUAGAGCGAUGACUGACCAAGGCUCGAGGGACGAGUGAGCCCAGUGGAACCUGAGGGGUGAUAAUGGUGACAAUGGUGGAACCGACGGAGCGUGGAGCCGACGCCUCAACAGACCUGGGUGGAGUCAUGGGCUCAGAGGCUUGACGUGGAGAAGGAGGAUCCGUGCACAAUGGCUGAGUUGAGGUUGGGGAAGUAUUAUGUAACCAAGGUUACCAGUGGAAUAACAGAAAAAAUAUUGUUAUUAAUAUAACAAUAUAAUAAUGGGAGAGUUAUUAAAAAGUAUUCAAAAUUAGUAAUUUCAUAAAAGAAAAAUAUUACUUUCAUACCAACGUAUAUUUUCAUUUGGGUAAUACUAAUGGUGAUGAGUUAUAAACUUGAGACGAGCCAAUACGAGCGCAGAAUCUGGCGCUGCGGAAGAAUUGAUUUCCGGGUUUUGAAGUUAAGAGGCAACUCUCUCUCUCGUGAACGGAUGCCUGAUGAGCGCUGUGUCUCGAUGCUCCGGGAAACAGAAAUAUAGAAAAUAGCCUUAUAGAUGAGUUUGGUCGAUGGAUUGAUGGUAAAGGGAGCAAUUGUAAUGGGGCGUGCUGUGCCUGCACCAUUCUGGAAUUUUCUGAGUUAAACGAUCUCCUUGGUCAGGUUUUCUUUUUUUCUUCUGUUGUUCUGUCUUUUCCAAAUUCGCUGUGUAUACUGGAUUUGUCCCGGCCUUCCAGUGGUUCUGAGGAGGGUUUGGACUGGCGAGCCUCCCUUGAGUUUGUUCUUGGAUCUUUCUGUUGAAGAAGUAUUCACACUGAUUGAACUGCGAAUGGUAGGAAAAAGACUAACUUUCCUCAUCUUUUUUUUUUUUUUUUCCCGGAUGGAGACCUUUUUCAUUACCAACAGAAAAAGGACAAUUAUUAUUAUUUUUUUUCCUCUAAAAACUUUCCAAAGCACUCUUUCACAAGGACUGCACAUUCUGAUUGGAUUCCAUCUGAAAAAAAAAAAAAAACAUUUGUUGUGUAAUUGGGUUGUAUGUUUUUUAUUUGGGAUUUACCUUGUUGAAACCCAAAGAGAAAAAAAAUGAGACCUAAAGUGUUGAGAUCUUACAUUCUGGUUGAAAAAGAAAUACAUAUCUACAUUUGAUUUUAUUUCAUUUUAUUUGUUAUCAACCAAUGUAAUUCACCUGUUGUCAUUCACCUGAAAAUACAGUGUGUGUUCAAACGAGUUUUCACUGUUGUUGUGGCAUCUUUCUCAGCAGCGAAUCUGUUUCUUCUGAAACGCUGGUCCAUAGAUUGCAUUAGGUUAAUAGCCGGAGAGUAAGCGCUACAAUUAGGCAGAGUCAGGAAACUGGAUGAAACCAGCAAAGGGUCUUUUUAAGGGUCUUGUGAUUGGGAUAAGGUGACCAGAUUUCUCAAAUGUAAACUAGUGACAUUUCCUAGUUCAGUAGUCAAGGUUUGAUAUGCUGCUAUUAAAAUGAAUAAGUAGGGAUCCAAGUGUGAAGCACUGAAACCCUAUUGGAAUUGUAAGGAUUUUUUUUUAUUAUUAUUCCGGACAAGGCGCAAGACCUUUACUAUUAGCUAUUAUUAUUUGGUAACAAGAUCGGCAGUUUAAGCCAUCAACUUUGUAAGCACAUAAAACAAGACACUUUUCUUUAAAUACAAACAAACAAUGCUUAUUGAACAAUUCUAAGCACAUGUAAACUAAAACAUGUAAACAAACACACAAACAAACACACUUUUUUUUCUUUUCUCUGUCAAACAAUUGCUCUGAACAAUCACAUAACUGAGGGAAAAGGAUUAAUCUAUUAUGUUAUCAGUUCAUCAAUUGAAAAAUAUAGUGAAAUACUAUAAUAAGGUUAUAUCUCUUAUGCAGAGACACAAAGUCAGUCAUACUGAUUGACAAAUGAGACCCAGGAGAGAUUUUAAAUUCCUAUAUGUUUAUCCCCCAAAGCCAUGAGCUAAAUUAAAAAGUGUUUACAGAGGCUUCUGGCUCAAUCCUCAAAAAAAUAAGGGAUCGUGAAACUAAGCUAUUGCUACUGAAGAUGUACCCACAGCCAAGACUGAAGUGUUAUGCAAUAUAAAAGUGAUAUGUAAUUAUGGCAGCUAAUUUUUGCAGAAGUAUUAGAUAAGAGACCAAACAUCUCUUAUAACUCCUUACUCAACAGUUCAGAUGUUGUAACACCUAAUUACUGUAGAUUGUACUUUGAUCAGAAUAAGAUGUAUGAAUGCAAAACAUGAUUAUAUAAGAAUGCACCUAAAAAUGAGCAUCAACAUUAUUUUAAAUAAAGGCCAAUUCACACUGCACCAACAGAUGCAGACCAAUCCCAACAGUCAACUGAGUACAGUAUGGCACUUCUCAGAUGUUCCAAGACACAAUAAACGGCAAUUCAACAUGUUCAGUUCGUGAAAGCAAGCACCGACCAAUGGCAACAGACACUGACAGGGGUAACACAUUGGUCCGAUGAAACCCAGCGUUUGUUGGACCAGUGUGUUACUGUUGCUGGUUGUCUGCUUCUGUCAGUGCAGUGUGAAUUGGCCCUAAAUGAAUAAUGUACAUUGAUGAAUCAUGCACAGUAAGACCAGAAACAUGUAAAUAUGGUCAAUUCUGAUUUAAUGUUUACUUCUUAAUGCCUGUACUAUUUGUGCCAGUUUAGGCUUUAUAGUGUCCUAACCAUUGUUUUAAGGCACAAAAAAUCUGAUUUGUUGAACACUUUGUAAUGCCAAGUGGAUGAAUGCAUACUAUGUUCAUAUACUUCUAAUAUUUAGUAAGAAUGCUCUCUCAAUUUACCUGCAUAUAAAUUUUCAAAUUGUUUAUAUGUGCAAGUCUAUAUUAUAUUAAUGUAGCAUAAGCUGAAGUUACCCUUUUGAAGAGACUAGCCAAUUGUGUCAGUAUAAAUAAAGUGAAAGUGACGUGACAUUCAGCCAAGUAUGGUGACCCAUACUCAGAAUUCGUGCUCUGCAUUUAACCCAUCCGAAGUGCACAC